CUUUCAGUUGAGAGAAAAAAUACGUGACUAAUAAUCAUGAUUCAUGACGGUAUCAACAGAAGAAGCACCGGCUAACUACGUGCCAGCAGCCGCGGUAAUACGUAGGGUGCAAGCGUUAAUCGGAAUUACUGGGCGUAAAGGGUGCGCAGGCGGUUCUGUAAGUCAGAUGUGAAAUCCCCGGGCUUAACCUGGGAACUGCGUUUGAAACUGCAGAGCUAGAGUGCAGCAGAGGGAGGUGGAAUUCCAUGUGUAGCAGUGAAAUGCGUAGAGAUAUGGAAGAACAUCGAUGGCGAAGGCAACCUCCUGGGCUAGCACUGACGCUCAUGCACGAAAGCGUGGGGAGCAAACAGGAUUAGAUACCCUGGUAGUCCACGCCCUAAACUAUGUCAACUAGUUGUCGGGUCUUAUUAGACUUGGUAACGUAGCUAACGCGUGAAGUUGACCGCCUGGGGAGUACGGUCGCAAGAUUAAAACUCAAAGGAAUUGACGGGGGGG
This 495-nucleotide ribosomal RNA is filed under the name uncultured bacterium. RNAcentral's name for it is "bacterial SSU rRNA". It matches the Rfam family "Bacterial small subunit ribosomal RNA", at positions 433 to 921 of the family's 1533-position model. The record is from RNAcentral.